RNAcentral lists this ribosomal RNA (253 nucleotides) under uncultured bacterium. Its description in RNAcentral is "partial 16S ribosomal RNA". It matches the Rfam family "Bacterial small subunit ribosomal RNA", at positions 524 to 776 of the family's 1533-position model. The record is from RNAcentral.
UACGAAGGUCCCGAGCGUUGUCCGGAAUUAUUGGGCGUAAAGGGCGUGUAGGCGGCUGAACAAGUCGGAUGUGAAAUCCCUCGGCUCAACUGAGGAACUGCAUUCGAUACUGUUCGGCUAGAGUCCGGGAGGGGGUAGCGGAAUUCCCAGUGUAGCGGUGAAAUGCGUAGAUAUUGGGAAGAACACCAGUAGCGAAGGCGGCUACCUGGACCGGAACUGACGCUGAGGCGCGAAAGCCAGGGGAGCGAAUGGG